RNAcentral lists this ribosomal RNA (393 nucleotides) under uncultured bacterium. RNAcentral describes it as "partial 16S ribosomal RNA". It matches the Rfam family "Bacterial small subunit ribosomal RNA", at positions 523 to 918 of the family's 1533-position model. The record is from RNAcentral.
AUACGGAGGAUCCGAGCGUUAUCCGGAUUUAUUGGGUUUAAAGGGAGCGUAGGCGGACGCUUAAGUCAGUUGUGAAAGUUUGCGGCUCAACCGUAAAAUUGCAGUUGAUACUGGGUGUCUUGAGUACAGUAGAGGCAGGCGGAAUUCGUGGGGUAGCGGGGGAAUGCUUAGAUAUCACGAAGAACUCCGAUUGCGAAGGCAGCCUGCUGGACUGUAACUGACGCUGAUGCUCGAAAGUGUGGGUAUCAAACAGGAUUAGAUACCCUGGUAGUCCACACAGUAAACGAUGAAUACUCGCUGUUUGCGAUAUACAGUAAGCGGCCAAGCGAAAGCGUUAAGUAUUCCACCUGGGGAGUACGCCGGCAACGGUGAAACUCAAAGGAAUUGACGGGG